UACUAACACACUUUGUUUCUAAUGGAAAAUGAAAUAUACAGUUUUCAGUGGACUAUCCGAACGAUAAUAUCACGGCCGUUAGUGGAACCUACAAACGUGUUUACACCUAUGAUACGACUCUCAUCACAUCACUUUACUUCACAACCUCCAAAGGUUUCACCUCUCCAUUAUUCGGUAUCGACAGUGAAAAGAAGGGAACAGACUUCGAGUUCAAAGGUGAAAAUGGAGGAAAGCUUAUUGGUUUGCAUGGACGUGGUGGUAAUGCGAUUGAUGCCAUUGGAGCUUACUUCGACACCGGUUCACAAGGAGGUAAGGGCGGCGGCGGCGGUUCACAAACUGAUGUCCCCGGGAAGAAGGGACCUCUUGGUGGUGAAAAAGGAGAAGAGUUCAACGAUGUUGGUUUCGAAGGUGUGAAGAAAAUUACCGUUGGAGCCGAUCAAUACAGUGUAACUUACAUCAAGAUCGAAUACGUGAAAGAUGGAAAAGUCGAAGUCCGUGAGCACGGGACAAGUCGUGGGGAGCUACAAGAGGUAACAAAUGCGAAAUUUUGUCACACUAUUCAACUGGUUCGUUACUAAUAUAGAUUUGUUUCUAAUAAACAGUUUUCAGUGGACUAUCCUAACGAUAGUAUUACGGCCGUUAGUGGAACCUACAAACAUAUUUUCACCUAUGAUACGACUCUCAUCACAUCGCUUUACUUCACAACCUCCAAAGGUUUCACCUCUCCAUUAUUCGGUAUCGACAGUGAAAAGAAGGGAACAGAAUUCGAGUUCAAAGGUGAAAAUGGAGGAAAGCUUCUUGGGUUCCACGGACGUGGCGGUAAUGCUAUUGAUGCAAUAGGAGCUUACUUCGACACCGGUUCACAAGGAGGUAAGGGUGGCGACGGUUCAAAAACUGAUGUCCCAGGGAAGAAGGGACCUCUUGGUGGUGACAAGGGAGAAGAGUUCAACGAUGUUGGUUUCGAAGGUGUGAAGAAAAUUACCGUAGGAGCCGAUCAAUACAGUGUAACUUACAUCAAGAUCGAAUACGUGAAAGAUGGAAAAGUCGAAAUCCGUGAGCACGGGACAAGUCGUGGGGAACUACAAGAGGUAAUAAAUGCGAAUUUUUGUCACACUAUUCAAUUGGUUCGUUACUAAUAUAGAUUUGUUUCUAACCAACAGUUUUCAGUGGACUAUCCUAACGAUAGUAUUACGGCCGUUAGUGGAACCUACAAACGUGUUUACACCUAUGAUACGACUCUCAUCACAUCACUUUACUUCACAACCUCCAAAGGUUUCACCUCUCCAUUAUUCGGUAUCAACAGUGAGAAGAAGGGAACCGAAUUCGAGUUCAAAGGUGAAAAUGGAGGAAAGCUUAUUGGUUUGCAUGGACGUGGUGGUAAUGCUAUUGAUGCAAUUGGAGCUUACUUUGACACCGGUUCACAAGGUGGUGACGGAGGC
This 1439-nucleotide long non-coding RNA is filed under the name Brassica rapa (field mustard). RNAcentral's name for it is "long non-coding RNA (BRAP_LNC003995)". Lineage: Eukaryota; Viridiplantae; Streptophyta; Magnoliopsida; Brassicales; Brassicaceae. The record is from RNAcentral.